GACGAACGCUGGCGGCGUGCUUAACACAUGCAAGUCGAACGGAAAGGCCCUGCUUUUGUGGGGUGCUCGAGUGGCGAACGGGUGAGUAACACGUGAGUAACCUGCCCUUGACUUUGGGAUAACUUCAGGAAGCUGGGGCUAAUACCGGAUAGGAGCUCCUGCUGCAUGGUGGGGGUUGGAAAGUUUCGGCGGUUGGGGAUGGACUCGCGGCUUAUCAGCUUGUUGGUGGGGUAGUGGCUUACCAAGGCUUUGACGGGUAGCCGGCCUGAGAGGGUGACCGGCCACAUUGGGACUGAGAUAGGGCCCAGACUCCUACGGGAGGCAGCAGUGGGGAAUAUUGCACAAUGGGCGGAAGCCUGAGGCAGCAACGCCGCGUGCGGGAUGACGGCCUUCGGGUUGUAAACCGCUUUCGCCUGUGACGAAGCGUGAGUGACGGUAAUGGGUAAAGAAGCACCGGCUAACUACGUG
RNAcentral lists this ribosomal RNA (468 nucleotides) under uncultured bacterium. RNAcentral describes it as "partial 16S ribosomal RNA". It matches the Rfam family "Bacterial small subunit ribosomal RNA", at positions 28 to 507 of the family's 1533-position model. The record is from RNAcentral.